AUGCCUUCUGUACGUGAUAGUUGCAUUGUGACUGGGUUCUUUUGAUCGUCAAAUUGCCACGCAUUAUAUAAUAAAGGAAAGAUAUAAAACCAUAAAAGAGUAACACUCAUUAUAUAUAUAACAGUAUUCAACAUAAGAACAACCAACUAGGGGCCGGUGCUCAGAUGGUACGUACAAGCCAAAAUACAAACACUAAAAGAACAGAAGACUAAACCUCCGUUUCUUAUUCCCAACAUUUUAUCUAUUAAUGCUGGUCAGUAACCAGACACUUGAUUAAUUAGUUCUCAGUUGGAGGCUUGUGCGGUGGCUUUUGGGGCGGCUUAUGGGGUGGCAGGUGUUUUAAUGGUGGUUUCUCUCCCUUUCCUUUAUAUGAAUCCUCAACUAACUCUUCCUCAGCCAAAAGAUGUCCAUGUGGUGGCUUGUGGGGUGGCUUGUGUUUUGGUACUGGUUUCUGUCCCUUUCCUUUAUAUGAAUCCUCGGCUAGCUCUUCCUCAGCCAAAAGAUGUCCAUGUGGCGGCUUAUGCUUUGGUGGUGGCUUAUUACCCUUAUGUGAGUCCUCUACAACCUCUGUAGCUAAAAGACGUCUGAGGGGUGGUUUGUGCUCUGGUGGUGGCUUGUGCGGUGGUUUGUGCUCGGAUGAUGGCUUUUGAGGUGGAAAAUUCUUAGGAGGUGGUUUCUCUCCCUUACCCUUAAAUGGCGGUUUUUGGAAGUCCUCUACGCUAUCCUCGCUUAAUAGGUGCCCAUGUGGUGGCUUGUGUGGUGGUUUGUGCUCUGGUGUUGGCUUUUGAGGUGGAAAAUUCUUAGGUGGUGGCUUUUGAGGUGGAAAAUUCUUAGGAGGUGGGUUCUCUCCCUUACCCUUAAAUGGUGGUUUUUGGAAGUCCUCUUCGCUAUCCUCACUUAAUAGGUGACCAUGUGGUGGCUUGUGUGGGGGGUUGUGCUCUGGGGGUGGCUUUUGAGGUGGGAAAUUCUUAGGUGGUGGCUUUUGAGGUGGAAAAUUCUUAGGAGGUGGGUUCUCUCCCUUACCCUUAAAUGGUGGUUUUUGGAAGUCCUCUUCGCUAUCCUCACUUAAUAGGUGACCAUGUGGUGGCUUGUGUGGUGGGUUGUGGUCUGGUGUUGGCUUUUGAGGUGGAAAAUUCUUAGGAGGUGGUUUCUCUCCCUUACCCUUGUAAGGUGGAUCAUGGACAUCCUCUACAUUAUCCUCACUUAACAGAUGACCAUGUGGUGGCUUGUGCUGUGAGUGGUGGUGAUCAUAAUGAUCAGCUAAUGAAGAAGAAAUGGAGAGAAUCACGACUGCUCCAAUAAGGAGCAACACUCGCAAGUUUUUAGAAGAGAACAUGUUUGA
This 1342-nucleotide long non-coding RNA is filed under the name Jatropha curcas. RNAcentral describes it as "long non-coding RNA (JCUR_LNC001011)". The record is from RNAcentral. Lineage: Eukaryota; Viridiplantae; Streptophyta; Magnoliopsida; Malpighiales; Euphorbiaceae.